This 71-nucleotide transfer RNA is filed under the name Cyrtanaspis phalerata. RNAcentral's name for it is "tRNA-Lys". Lineage: Eukaryota; Metazoa; Arthropoda; Insecta; Coleoptera; Scraptiidae. The record is from RNAcentral.
CAUUAGAUGGCUGAAAUGUAAGUAAUGGUCUCUUAAACCACAUAAUAAUAUAUUAACAAAUAUUUCUAAUG